Molecule: ribosomal RNA, 254 nt
Filed under: uncultured bacterium
Lineage: Bacteria
Description: partial 16S ribosomal RNA
Rfam family: Bacterial small subunit ribosomal RNA
Source: RNAcentral
GACAUAGGUGGCGAACGUUAUCCGGAAUUAUUGGGCGUAAAGGAUGCGUAGAUGGUAGAAUAAGUUAUUGGUCGAUGCCAAACUCAAUUUGGCGGAAGCUGGUAAUACUGUUCUACUCGAGGGCAGGAGAGGUUGAUGGAAUUCUGUGUGGAGCGGUGAAAUGCGUUGAUCUACAGAGGAACACCAAAAAAGGCGAAGGCAGUCAACUAUUCUGCUCCUGACAUUGAGGCAUGAAAGCGUGGGGAGCAAACCGG